RNAcentral lists this ribosomal RNA (488 nucleotides) under uncultured bacterium. RNAcentral describes it as "bacterial SSU rRNA". It matches the Rfam family "Bacterial small subunit ribosomal RNA", at positions 28 to 512 of the family's 1533-position model. The record is from RNAcentral.
GAUGAACGCUAGCGGCAGGCCUAACACAUGCAAGUCGAGGGGCAGCACAGGUAGCAAUACUGGGUGGCGACCGGCGGAUGGGUGCGUAACGCGUAUGCAACCUACCAUUGAUUGGGGCAUAGCCCGAAGAAAUUCGGAUUAAUACUCCAUAAUAUUCAUCAAAGGCAUCUUUUAUGAAUUAAAGCUUUUGCGAUCAAUGAUGGGCAUGCGUGACAUUAGUUAGUUGGUGAGGUAACGGCUCACCAAAACGAUGAUGUCUAGGGGUUCUGAGAGGAUUAUCCCCCACACUGGUACUGAGACACGGACCAGACUCCUACGGGAGGCAGCAGUGAGGAAUAUUGGUCAAUGGACGCAAGUCUGAACCAGCCAUGCCGCGUGCAGGAUGAAGGCCCUAUGGGUUGUAAACUGCUUUUAGCCGGGAAUAAACACCCGUUUUAUAACGGGCCCGAAGGUACCGGCUGAAUAAGCAUCGCUAACUCCGUGCCAGC